GGGUCAGGAGGUUGGUCGUGCCACCGGUACGUACUGGUCUCACUGAUUCCUCCUUCCUGAAGAACCGUAAUGCCAUUAAUUUGGUGUUGCGGGGAAACAGGACUGUUACUUUGAAAAAAUUAGAGUGUUUAAAGCAAGCUAACGCUUGAAUACUUUAGCAUGGAAUAAUGAAAUAGGACGAUCGAUCCUAUUUUGUUGGUUUCUAGGAUUGACGUA
This 216-nucleotide ribosomal RNA is filed under the name Glomeromycotina sp. Its description in RNAcentral is "partial small subunit ribosomal RNA". The stretch from base 40 to 216 matches the Rfam family "Eukaryotic small subunit ribosomal RNA", at positions 686 to 864 of the family's 1831-position model. The record is from RNAcentral. Lineage: Eukaryota; Fungi; Glomeromycota.